ACUAAGCGGAGGAAAAGAAACUAACCAGGAUUCCCCCAGUAACGGCGAGUGAAGCGGGAAGAGCUCACGUUGUAAAUCUGACUUCGGUCCGAAUUGUAGUCUGGAGAGGCGUGACCAGCUGGAGGCGGGGGCGAAGUCUCUUGGAAAAGAGCAUCAAGGAGGGUGACAAUCCCGUUCUUGCCCUCGCUUUCCACGCGUACGGUCCGUUUUCUACGAGUCGAGUUGCUUGGGAUUGCAGCUCAAAGCGGGUGGUAAAUUCCAUCUAAAGCUAAACACGGGUGGGAGACCGAUAGCGAACAAGUACCGUGAGGGAAAGAUGCAAAGAACUUUGAAAAGAGAGUUAAAGAGUGCCUGAAAUUGCUGAAAGGGAAGCGAAGGAAACCAGUGUCUGGCGGUUCCGCUUCUCCUCGGCCCCUCGGGGCCUUGGUUUGCGUUUCCGCCGUGGCCAGGGCUGGGUGUUGUCGCGGGAUGCUGCGGCUCGGAAGGUAGCGCCUCGGUUUCGGCCGAGCGUGAAUACCGUGCCGUUUCGUCGCGGCGGCGGCUGGUUCUGACGAAAUGGUUU
This 562-nucleotide ribosomal RNA is filed under the name Hydroclathrus clathratus. Its description in RNAcentral is "LSU rRNA". It matches the Rfam family "Eukaryotic large subunit ribosomal RNA", at positions 45 to 640 of the family's 3401-position model. Lineage: Eukaryota; Phaeophyceae; Ectocarpales; Scytosiphonaceae. The record is from RNAcentral.